UACAGAGGGUGCGAGCGUUAAUCGGAAUUACUGGGCGUAAAGGGCGCGUAGGCGGUACGGCAAGUGUGGUGUGAAAUCCCCGGGCUCAACCUGGGAAUGGCGCCACGGACUGCUGUGCUGGAGUACUGUAGAGGGCAGUGGAAUUUCCGGUGUAGCGGUGAAAUGCGUAGAGAUCGGAAGGAACACCGGUGGCGAAGGCGGCUGCCUGGACAGAUACUGACGCUGAGGCGCGAAAGCGUGGGGAGCAAACAGG
RNAcentral lists this ribosomal RNA (253 nucleotides) under uncultured bacterium. RNAcentral describes it as "partial 16S ribosomal RNA". It matches the Rfam family "Bacterial small subunit ribosomal RNA", at positions 524 to 776 of the family's 1533-position model. The record is from RNAcentral.